Molecule: ribosomal RNA, 497 nt
Filed under: uncultured bacterium
Lineage: Bacteria
Description: partial 16S ribosomal RNA
Rfam family: Bacterial small subunit ribosomal RNA
Source: RNAcentral
GAUGAACGCUGGCGGCGUGCCUAAUACAUGCCAGUCGAGCGAACGGACGAGAAGCUUGCUUCUCUGAUGUUAGCGGCGGACGGGUGAGUAACACGUGGACAACCUACCUAUAAGACUGGGAUAACUUCGGGAAACCGGAGCUAAUACCGGAUAAUAUUUUGAACCGCAUGGUUCAAAAGUGAAAGACGGUCUUGCUGUCACUUAUAGAUGGAUCCGCGCUGCAUUAGCUAGUUGGUAAGGUAACGGCUUACCAAGGCAACGAUGCAUAGCCGACCUGAGAGGGUGAUCGGCCACACUGGAACUGAGACACGGUCCAGACUCCUACGGGAGGCAGCAGUAGGGAAUCUUCCGCAAUGGGCGAAAGCCUGACGGAGCAACGCCGCGUGAGUGAUGAAGGUCUUCGGAUCGUAAAACUCUGUUAUUAGGGAAGAACAUAUGUGUAAGUAACUGUGCACAUCUUGACGGUACCUAAUCAGAAAGCCACGGCUAACUACGUG